RNAcentral lists this ribosomal RNA (407 nucleotides) under uncultured bacterium. RNAcentral describes it as "bacterial SSU rRNA". It matches the Rfam family "Bacterial small subunit ribosomal RNA", at positions 355 to 774 of the family's 1533-position model. The record is from RNAcentral.
UGGGGAAUAUUGCACAAUGGGCGCAAGCCUGAUGCAGCAACGCCGCGUGAGGGACGACGGCCUUCGGGUUGUAAACCUCUUUUGGCAGGGAAGAAGCGAAAGUGACGGUACCUGCAGAAAAAGCACCGGCUAACUACGUGCCAGCAGCCGCGGUGAUACGUAGGGUGCAAGCGUUGUCCGGAAUUAUUGGGCGUAAAGAGCUCGUAGGCGGUUUGUCGCGUCUGCUGUGAAAACCCGAGGCUCAACCUCGGGCCUGCAGUGGGUACGGGCAAACUAGAGUGCGGUAGGGGAGAUUGGAAUUCCUGGUGUAGCGGUGGAAUGCGCAGAUAUCAGGAGGAACACCGAUGGCGAAGGCAGAUCUCGGGGCCGUAACUGACGCUGAGGAGCGAAAGCAUGGGGAGCGAACA